UACGGAGGGUGCAAGCGUUAUCCGGAUUCACUGGGUUUAAAGGGAGCGUAGGUGGGGUGGUAAGUCAGUGGUGAAAUCUCCGGGCUUAACUGGAGGGGUGCCAUUGAUACUGCAGGGCUUGAGUGGAGUCGAAGUAGGCGGAAUUGACGGUGUAGCGGUGAAAUGCUUAGAUAUCGUCAAGAACACCGAUAGUGAAGACAGCUUACUAGGCUUCUACUGACGCUGAGGCACGAAAGUGUGGGGAUCAAACAGG
Molecule: ribosomal RNA, 253 nt
Filed under: uncultured bacterium
Lineage: Bacteria
Description: partial 16S ribosomal RNA
Rfam family: Bacterial small subunit ribosomal RNA
Source: RNAcentral